CUAGCUACGGUGGUACGUAUUCUAAAAUUGGAACGAUACAGAGAAGAUUAGCAUGGCCCCUGCACAAGGAUAACACGCAAAUUCGUGAAGCGUUCCAUAUUUUU
This 104-nucleotide small nuclear RNA is filed under the name Octopus sinensis (East Asian common octopus). The record is from RNAcentral. Lineage: Eukaryota; Metazoa; Mollusca; Cephalopoda; Octopoda; Octopodidae.